AAUGGACGGAAGUCUGAUGCAGCAACGCCGCGUGGAGGAUGACACAUUUCGGUGCGUAAACUCCUUUUAUAUGAGAAGAUAAUGACGGUAUUAUAUGAAUAAGCACCGGCUAACUCCGUGCCAGCAGCCGCGGUAA
RNAcentral lists this ribosomal RNA (136 nucleotides) under uncultured bacterium. RNAcentral's name for it is "partial 16S ribosomal RNA". It matches the Rfam family "Bacterial small subunit ribosomal RNA", at positions 370 to 523 of the family's 1533-position model. The record is from RNAcentral.